UUGGCCUACGGGAGGCAGCAGUGAGGAAUAUUGGUCAAUGGGAGAGAUCCUGAACCAGCCAAGUCGCGUGAGGGAUGACGGUCCUAUGGAUUGUAAACCUCUUUUGUCAGGGAGCAAAGGGCGCCACGUGUGGCGCUUUGCGAGUACCUGAAGAAAAAGCAUCGGCUAACUCCGUGCCAGCAGCCGCGGUAAUACGGAGGAUGCGAGCGUUAUCCGGAUUUAUUGGGUUUAAAGGGUGCGCAGGCGGAAGAUCAAGUCAGCGGUAAAAUUGAGAGGCUCAACCUCUUCGAGCCGUUGAAACUGGU
Molecule: ribosomal RNA, 305 nt
Filed under: uncultured bacterium
Lineage: Bacteria
Description: bacterial SSU rRNA
Rfam family: Bacterial small subunit ribosomal RNA
Source: RNAcentral